Molecule: ribosomal RNA, 608 nt
Filed under: uncultured bacterium
Lineage: Bacteria
Description: bacterial SSU rRNA
Rfam family: Bacterial small subunit ribosomal RNA (bases 1-535)
Source: RNAcentral
CCUACGGGAGGCAGCAGUGAGGAAUAUUGGUCAAUGGGCGCAAGCCUGAACCAGCCAUCCCGCGUGAAGGAUGAAGGCCCUAUGGGUCGUAAACUUCUUUUAUACGCCAAGAAAAUUUCGGACGUGUCCGGAACUGACGGUAGUGUAUGAAUAAGCAUCGGCUAACUCCGUGCCAGCAGCCGCGGUAAUACGGAGGAUGCAAGCGUUAUCUGGAUUCAUUGGGUUUAAAGGGUGCGUAGGCGGCUUUUUAAGUCAGUGGUGAAAUCCUGCCGCUUAACGGUAGAAUUGCCAUUGAUACUGAAGAGCCUGAGUACAUUUGAGGUAAGCGGAAUGUGUAGUGUAGCGGUGAAAUGCUUAGAUAUUACACAGAACACCAAUUGCGAAGGCAGCUUACUAAACUGUUACUGACGCUGAUGCACGAAAGCGUGGGGAGCGAACAGGAUUAGAUACCCUGGCAGUCCACGCCGUAAACGAUGCUCACUCGCUGUUUGCGAUACACAGCAAGCGGCCAAGCGAAAGCAUUAAGUGAGCCACGNGGAGUAGAGNGNGAGUAGUAACGUAAGUAGAGUAGAGNGNGAGAGNGCGACGGACGACACGAGGGAGGUAGG